AGGGCUUGACAUGCGGGGUGAAGCCGUGGAAACACGGUCCUCCUACGGGAGCCCGCACAGGUGCUGCAUGGCUGUCGUCAGCUCGUGCCGUGAGGUGUUGCCUUAAGUGGCGCAACGAGCGCAACCCCUUUUCCUAGUUGCCAGCGGGUAAUGCCGGGAACUCUAGGGAGACUGCCGGUGCCAAACCGGAGGAAGGUGGGGAUGACGUAGACCUUGGACC
This 220-nucleotide unclassified non-coding RNA is filed under the name uncultured Actinomycetes bacterium. Its description in RNAcentral is "uncultured actinobacterium contains 16S-23S intergenic spacer region". It matches the Rfam family "Bacterial small subunit ribosomal RNA", at positions 977 to 1201 of the family's 1533-position model. The record is from RNAcentral. Lineage: Bacteria; Bacillati; Actinomycetota; Actinomycetes.